RNAcentral lists this ribosomal RNA (497 nucleotides) under uncultured bacterium. Its description in RNAcentral is "partial 16S ribosomal RNA". It matches the Rfam family "Bacterial small subunit ribosomal RNA", at positions 28 to 507 of the family's 1533-position model. The record is from RNAcentral.
GACGAACGCUGGCGGCGUGCCUAAUACAUGCAAGUCGAGCGAUGAAGCUUGGUGCUUGCACCAAUUUGAAGAGCAGCGAACGGGUGAGUAACGCGUGGGGAAUCUGCCUUUGAGCGGGGGACAACAUCUGGAAACGAAUGCUAAUACCGCAUAACAACUUUAAACAUAAGUUUUAAGAUUGAAAGAUGCAAUUGCAUCACUCAAAGAUGAUCCCGCGUUGUAUUAGCUAGUUGGGUAGGGAAAGGCCCACCCAGGCGAAGAUACAUAGGCGAACUGAGAAGGUGAUCGGCCACCUUGGGACUGGGACAAGGCCCAAGACCCUUCCGGAGGGAGCAGGAGGGGAUCUUUGGCAAUGGACGGAAGUCCGAACGAGGAACGCCGGGGGGGGGAAGGAGGUUCUCCGAUCGGAAAACUCCUUUGGUAGAGAGGGAAGAUGGUGAGAGUGGAAAGCUCAUCAAGUGACGGUAACUACUCAGAAAGCGGCGGCUAACUACGUG